UGAGGAAUAUUGCGCAAUGGGGGCAACCCUGACGCAGCGACGCCGCGUGAGUGAGGAAGGCCUUCGGGUCGUAAAGCUCUGUCAAAGGGAAAGAAAUGUAUAAUGGCUAAUACCUGUUAUAUUUGACGGUACCCUUAAAGGAAGCACCGGCUAACUCCGUGCCAGCAGCCGCGGUAAUACGGAGGGUGCAAGCGUUGUUCGGAAUCACUGGGCGUAAAGGGCGCGCAGGCGGUUUGGUAAGUCAGAUGUGAAAGCCCACGGCUUAACCGUGGAAGUGCAUUUGAAACUGCCAGACUUGAGUAUCAGAGGGGAAAGUGGAAGUCCCGGGGUAGAGGGGAAAGUCGUAGAUAUCGGGAGGAAUACCGGUGGCGAAGGCGACUUUCUGGCUGAAUACUGACGCUGAGGCGCGAAAGCGUGGGGAGCAAACA
This 428-nucleotide ribosomal RNA is filed under the name uncultured prokaryote. RNAcentral's name for it is "bacterial SSU rRNA". It matches the Rfam family "Bacterial small subunit ribosomal RNA", at positions 355 to 774 of the family's 1533-position model. The record is from RNAcentral.